This 253-nucleotide ribosomal RNA is filed under the name uncultured bacterium. Its description in RNAcentral is "partial 16S ribosomal RNA". It matches the Rfam family "Bacterial small subunit ribosomal RNA", at positions 524 to 776 of the family's 1533-position model. The record is from RNAcentral.
UACGAAGGGGGCGAGCGUUGUUCGGAUUUACUGGGCGUAAAGGGCGCGUAGGCGGCGGGGCAAGUCGAGUGUGAAAGCCCCGGGCUCAACCUGGGAAUUGCGCUCGAGACUGGUCUGCUUGAGUUCGGGAGAGGAGAGUGGAAUUCCCAGUGUAGAGGUGAAAUUCGUAGAUAUUGGGAAGAACACCGGUGGCGAAGGCGGCGCUCUGGACCGAGACUGACGCUGAGGCGCGAAAGCGUGGGGAGCAAACAGG